UACGGGGGGGGCAAGCGUUGUUCGGAAUUACUGGGCGUAAAGGGCUCGUAGGCGGCCAACUAAGUCAGACGUGAAAUCCCUCGGCUUAACCGGGGAACUGCGUCUGAUACUGGAUGGCUUGAGUUCGGGAGAGGGAUGCGGAAUUCCAGGUGUAGCGGUGGAAAUGCGCAGAUAUCAGGAGGAACACCGGUGGCGAAGGCGGUGAUCUGGGCCGACACUGACGCUGUAGAGCGAAAGCGUGGGGAGCGAACAGG
This 254-nucleotide ribosomal RNA is filed under the name uncultured bacterium. Its description in RNAcentral is "partial 16S ribosomal RNA". It matches the Rfam family "Bacterial small subunit ribosomal RNA", at positions 524 to 776 of the family's 1533-position model. The record is from RNAcentral.